UCCGUAGGUGRACCUGSGGGAGGRUUAUUGUUGGAUCCUACCUAANNAGACGACCGUGAACAAGUUACUUAAUUGCGAGUUGUGUGUCGACGUGGGAGACUUUGUCGCCACGCACCCGCAUCCAACCAUAACUUUCGGCGCGGGUUGCGCCAAGGAAUACUAAAAUGGAUUGCUAGCUUCUCCGCGGCUUCCGCGGGGAUGGCAAGGCGUCUUGUCGUUUAACCUUAACGACUCUCGGCAACGGAUAUCUAGGCUCUCGCAUCGAUGAAGAACGUAGCGAAAUGCGAUACUUGGUGUGAAUUGCAGAAUCCCGUGAACCAUCGAGUUUUUGAACGCAAGUUGCGCCCGAAGCCAUUAGGCUGAGGGCACGUCUGCCUGGGCGUCACGCAUCUCGUCGUCAGACCCACAAAUUAUUAGGAUGGGUUGACGGAUGUUGGCCUCCCGUGUCCUCGUGGCGCGGCUGGCCUAAAUGCAAGUACUCGGCGCGAGACGUCACGACAAGUGGUGGUUGAACUCAUCAACUAGUGUGCUGUCGCGAUGAUCCCCGGCACGUACUAUAACGACCCUCGAGCCCUUGACUCUUAACAGAGUAUAGGACCAUCGACCGCGACCCCAGGUCAGGAGGGAUUACCCGCUGAGUUUAAGCAUAUCAAUAAGCGGAA
This 662-nucleotide ribosomal RNA is filed under the name Notopleura macrophylla. RNAcentral describes it as "eukaryotic LSU rRNA". The stretch from base 230 to 385 matches the Rfam family "5.8S ribosomal RNA". The record is from RNAcentral. Lineage: Eukaryota; Viridiplantae; Streptophyta; Magnoliopsida; Gentianales; Rubiaceae.